AAUACAUGUAUCAUAUUUAAGAGAAAACUAUUUUAUUUUUUAAAAGGUGUUAAUAAAAGAUCUCUCUCACACACACACACACGCGUGCGCGCACACACACACACACACACACACACACACAUGCUAGGAACAGCUGGUGAUGCUUCCCAGUCCAAAAAUCCAGCCAUGGUAGUUAGAAAUGGCAGGUGUCAGAGACAAGGCUCAUUUUUGUGCUGGGAAGAACACUGGGUGGCUCUAAUCUGGGUGACCACAUGAUUUCACAAAUAUUUCCAAAGGCCUUUUUCAGAUUAAUUUCACUUUCUAUAAAGAAAAACACAUAUAACCAGGUUUACAGAACAACUCAUUUAAAGCCAGUUAUUGGAGGGUUGAAUAAUUGGAUGCUCCCUCAUAUUUCACUGGCAUUGCAGUCAUAAAUUCCACCGAUUCUCCUGCCUGGACCAUCCAAGACUGGAGCCUCUUCCUUGUGACUGUCUAUGGUCCCGAUGACUUGACCUUUUUCUCUGAAAAGGACGUGGGGGCUUUAGAUAACCAUAUGUUUGCUUGGAGUCAAAAAUGAGUCAUGCCUUACAAGUGAGAACAGCUUGGCCCACACAUGCAGCAAUGUCCAAUUGGAGAAAGAGACCAACACAUGGAAAAUACGUUCACUUUACCCAAACUCGAUCAGGCGAGAGAUGAGGGUUUAUGGUCAUCUGAAAAAGAAUCUCUGUGGCAUUUUUUUGUGUGGCUUCCGAAACUCCAAACGAAAACCUUGACUAUUCCCAGCCAAAGUGUGAAGCCUAUCAGGAUGUGAUACUCCAUUACAGGUGUAGCCAAAGGAAGGCAAGUAGUAUGCUUUGUUUAACCAGAUAGAUUUGUCAAGGCAAAGUAGACAGUAAAUGCUGCAAUCCAAAAGCCAAGGCAAAUGGAAUGAUCAAGAACUAUCAGAGUCCUUCUUUCCCAGAAUUUUUCUCUUUCCCCGAAUAUUUAGAACGAGAGCAAGACAGUAAGUUUGAGACUACAUAAGCUGCCUCUCAUGCACCGUGCAUUUUCUUUUUUCCAAACUGAGGCGACAGUGAUGGUCUCUAACCCUUCAUCAUGUUGUAAUCACAGGAAGCACAGCUCUGUAUAAACAUUCCAGUUGAUUUUCAGAACAGCCCAUCCCGGGUGUCUAUAAAAUAGCUGUAAGGAAAUUCUUGCAAAUGAAUAACAAACAACUCCAGGUGUUCAAAUGAGGAACGUUCCCUAGAUGCUAAUGCCCAGACAAGCUCGGGUAGUUUUUCCAGGCAAAGUUGGUAUUUUUAGUUUAAGAAACCAAGAAAUAAAAAAUGAAGGUCUUGUUUACACUCCCCUCUUGGUUCUUUGCGAGAUCUUGAAAGGGGUGACUGCAGAGGCUGCAUUUUAGGGACCCUCGGCUCUUUGAGAACAACACUUUUCUCCCCGUUACAAAGCACUUGUUUGUAUUUAUCUCCAAAUGACACAGUGGCGGUUUAUUCAGUGACAAUCAAAAUCGCAGUUUCUGAAGGGUCCUGACUCCGGGGAGAGAGAGGUCUAUUGUUGUCCUCUGUCCACAUGCCUGACCGCUUUGAGAAAAAAUUA
RNAcentral lists this long non-coding RNA (1575 nucleotides) under Homo sapiens (human). Its description in RNAcentral is "HSALNT0037175". The record is from RNAcentral. Lineage: Eukaryota; Metazoa; Chordata; Mammalia; Primates; Hominidae.